CCUGCAGGUAUUGCCGGGCAAAUCUCUGUGAAGUCGCGGCUGGAACUGGACUGAAUAUCCGUCGAAUAUCCAACCUAAAACUAACUUCACCGCGGUCAAUUAACUCCGGAGCAAGAACAAGCUUUGCAGAGUUUUGUUGGUGGCCAUGAGGUUGUGGCGCUUCCCCUAUGCUUCCCCCCACCGGGUUCGGGAAAAGUUUGAUUUCCCAGCUGGCUCCGUUAGUGGUGAAGGAGCCGGUCCCGUCGCAAGACAAUACGUCACGACCAAACGCUAUGCGAUUGGUUAUGGCAGAUCCAGAGUGGCACUGGGCAGAUCCAAUCAUUUUAAAACUUCUUCAGCCACCCGCCUCCAAUUCGCCAAAUCGUUACCUCAAGAAUGGUCCCGAAAUGUAAUCCUACCUCUGGAGUCGGCGGUCACGAGUGGACCUCCAUCUCUCCGAGGAAGCGGCCCGGUGGGUAGGCGGUGCAGCGGCGCUCUCCUCGGAGGGACUGACUCCACUCCACCGUGCCGUGGGACUGGCUCCACUCCACCGUGCCGUGGGACUGGCUCCACUCCACCGUGCCGUGGGACUGGCUCUCCGCGGUCCCCCUGAUGACGCUCAUAUGACCCGUGGCGCCUCCUCCCCCGGCGUCAUGCGCUCUGAGCCUCCGCGGUGCCACAGUAUCAGUGGAGACGUAUCCUGGUGUGGAGGGUUGGGAUGUGUACAAAUGUAACUGUGUGUGGUUGUAUGAGAGAGAGAGCCAUUACCUUUCACAAAAAGAGCUGGCAGGUUGGAGAACUUGACAUUUGACAGACACAUGUCUGAUGUCAGUUAAGAUGCCACUUAAUCAAUAUAUCUCAAUAGUUGUGUUUUCAGACAACGUAAGCCUUAUUUUAUUUUCGCUUGAUAUAAAGCUUUAAAUCAAAAUGCUAAGUUUGGCCCCAAAAGGAUUUUUUUUUUUAAUAAUUAUUACAUUUUACACUUCAUGUGAGAGUAAUUAUACAACAAUAACAAUAGUGUUAUUAAAUAUCACAACAUGCACAGAUUGUUGGCCUCGUUCAAAACAAGAUUAUAUAUAAAACUAAAGCCAAAUUCCAGUCAGCUCCACCUUGGAGCCACAUAGUGGAUACAACAAUUGAUGCAUGGGUCUGCUUCAAAAA
This is a long non-coding RNA of Gadus macrocephalus (Pacific cod), 1140 nucleotides long. RefSeq lists it as uncharacterized. The transcript is spliced from 2 exons. Lineage: Eukaryota; Metazoa; Chordata; Actinopteri; Gadiformes; Gadidae. The record is from RefSeq and is a predicted model, not a curated record.